This 330-nucleotide ribosomal RNA is filed under the name Leptotrichia sp. Its description in RNAcentral is "bacterial SSU rRNA". It matches the Rfam family "Bacterial small subunit ribosomal RNA", at positions 1 to 319 of the family's 1533-position model. The record is from RNAcentral. Lineage: Bacteria; Fusobacteriati; Fusobacteriota; Fusobacteriia; Fusobacteriales; Leptotrichiaceae.
UUUACAAUGAAGAGUUUGAUCCUGGCUCAGGAUGAACGCUAGCUACAGGCUUAACACAUGCAAGUCGAGGGGCAGCGGGUUGAAAGCUUGCUUUCAAUGCCGGCGACCGGCGCACGGGUGCGUAACGCGUAUCAAACCUGCCUCAUACUCGGGGAUAGCCUUGCGAAAGUAAGAUUAAUACCCGAUGUUAUUAGUUUUCCGCAUGGUGGACUAAUCAAAGAUUUAUCGGUAUGAGAUGGUGAUGCGUCCGAUUAGGUAGUAGGCGGGGUAACGGCCCACCUAGCCUUCGAUCGGUAGGGGUUCUGAGAGGAAGGUCCCCCACACUGGAAC